UACAGAGGGUGCGAGCGUUGUUCGGAAUUACUGGGCGUAAAGGGCGCGUAGGCGGCCUUCUAAGUCGAACGUGAAAUCCCCGGGCUCAACCCGGGAACUGCGUCCGAGACUGAAAGGCUUGAAUCCGGGAGAGGGAUGUGGAAUUCCAGGUGUAGCGGUGAAAUGCGUAGAUAUCUGGAGGAACAUCGGUGGCGAAGGCGGCAUCCUGGACCGGUAUUGACACUGAGGCACGAAGGCCAGGGGAGCAAACGGG
This 253-nucleotide ribosomal RNA is filed under the name uncultured bacterium. RNAcentral describes it as "partial 16S ribosomal RNA". It matches the Rfam family "Bacterial small subunit ribosomal RNA", at positions 524 to 776 of the family's 1533-position model. The record is from RNAcentral.